RNAcentral lists this ribosomal RNA (692 nucleotides) under uncultured Bacteroides sp. RNAcentral describes it as "bacterial SSU rRNA". It matches the Rfam family "Bacterial small subunit ribosomal RNA", at positions 34 to 715 of the family's 1533-position model. Lineage: Bacteria; Pseudomonadati; Bacteroidota; Bacteroidia; Bacteroidales; Bacteroidaceae. The record is from RNAcentral.
CGCUAGCUCUUUGCUUAACACAUGCAAGUCGAGGGGCAGCAUGGUCUCAUCUUGCUAAGGCCGAUGGCGACCGGCGCACGGGUGAGUAACACGUAUCCAACCUGCCGUCUACUCUUGGACAGCCUUCUGAAAGGAAGAUUAAUACAAGAUGGCAUCAUGAGUCCGCAUGUUCACAUGAUUAAAGGUAUUCCGGUAGACGAUGGGGAUGCGUUCCAUUAGAUAGUAGGCGGGGUAACGGCCCACCUAGUCUUCGAUGGAUAGGGGUUCUGAGAGGAAGGUCCCCCACAUUGGAACUGAGACACGGUUCAAACUCCUACGGGAGGCAGCAGUGAGGAAUAUUGGUCAAUGGGCGAGAGCCUGAACCAGCCAAGUAGCGUGAAGGAUGACUGCCCUAUGGGUUGUAAACUUCUUUUAUAAAGGAAUAAAGUCGGGUAUGGAUACCCGUUUGCAUGUACUUUAUGAAUAAGGAUCGGCUAACUCCGUGCCAGCAGCCGCGGUAAUACGGAGGAUCCGAGCGUUAUCCGGAUUUAUUGGGUUUAAAGGGAGCGUAGAUGGAUGUUUAAGUCAGUUGUGAAAGUUUGCGGCUCAACCGUAAAAUUGCAGUUGAUACUGGAUAUCUUGAGUGCAGUUGAGGCAGGCGGAAUUCGUGGUGUAGCGGUGAAAUGCUUAGAUAUCACGAAGAACUCCGAUUG